RNAcentral lists this transfer-messenger RNA (380 nucleotides) under Chromatocurvus halotolerans. It matches the Rfam family "transfer-messenger RNA". Rfam says of the family: Bacterial tmRNA, also known as 10Sa RNA or SsrA, is named for its dual tRNA and mRNA-like properties. Its role is to liberate the mRNA from a stalled ribosome. Lineage: Bacteria; Pseudomonadati; Pseudomonadota; Gammaproteobacteria; Cellvibrionales; Halieaceae. The record is from RNAcentral.
GGGGGCGAUCCGGAUUCGACGUCGGUAACGAACCCUGAGGUGCAUGCCGUGAUGGUAGCGAAUCACGUUAAUCCAAAGCUGCAAACUAUUAGUUGCCAACGACGACAACUACGGUGCCCAACUGGCUGCGUAAGCAGCCCGUGAAGCACUUCUAGAGGCUUCGGCCCUAGCGGUCUUUAGCAAGAUGCCAGUAUCGCGCUACUGACUGUCAUACAGAACUGGAUCGCAGUGCGGCUCGCCUUGGGCCAAGCUGUUAAACCUAACAGGGAUCGCCGACCACGUCCUGCCCGUCGGGCUGUGGAAGGCUAAAUCAAUAGACGGAAACUAAGCAUGUAGAGCCGAAGGCAGAGUACUGACGGACGCGGGUUCGAUUAACACCA